GAUGAAGAACGUAGCGAACUGCGAUAAGUAAUGUGAAUUGCAGAAUUCAGUGAAUCAUCGAGUCUUUGAACGCACAUUGCGCCCCCUGGCAUUCCGGGGGGCAUGCCUGUCCGAGCGUCAUUGCUGCCCUUCAAGCCCGGCUUGUGUGUUGGGUCGUCGUCCCCCCCGGGGGACGGGCCCGAAAGGCAGCGGCGGCACCGCGUCUGGUCCUCGAGCGUAUGGGGCUUUGUCACCCGCUCGAUUAGGGCCGGCCGGGCGCCAGCCGGCGUCUCCAACCUUCUAUUUUACCAGGUUGACCUCGGAUCAGGUAGGGAUACCCGCUGAACUUAAGCAUAUCAAUAAGCGGAGGA
RNAcentral lists this unclassified non-coding RNA (350 nucleotides) under soil metagenome. RNAcentral describes it as "partial contains 5.8S ribosomal RNA, internal transcribed spacer 2, and large subunit ribosomal RNA". The stretch from base 1 to 120 matches the Rfam family "5.8S ribosomal RNA", at positions 35 to 154 of the family's 154-position model. The record is from RNAcentral.